ACUUAUAUAGUUUAAAUUUAAAACCCUUCAUUUUCAAUGAAAAAAUAGAUAUAUCUUAUAAGUU
RNAcentral lists this transfer RNA (64 nucleotides) under Harmostica fulvicornis. RNAcentral's name for it is "tRNA-Glu". The record is from RNAcentral. Lineage: Eukaryota; Metazoa; Arthropoda; Insecta; Hemiptera; Rhyparochromidae.